CCUACGGGAGGCUGCAGUGAGGAAUAUUGGUCAAUGGACGAGAGUCUGAACCAGCCAAGUAGCGUGAAGGAUGACUGCCCUAUGGGUUGUAAACUUCUUUUAUAUGGGAAUAAAAUGUUCCACGUGUGUGAUGUUGUAUGUACCGUAUGAAUAAGGAUCGGCUAACUCCGUGCCAGCAGCCGCGGUACUACGGAGGAUCCGAGCGUUAUCCGGAUUUAUUGGGUUUAAAGGGGGCGUAGGUGGAUUGUUAAGUUAGUUGUGAAAGUUUGCGGCUCAACCGUAAAAUUGCAGUUGAAACUGGCAGUCUUGAGUACAGUAGAGGUGGGCGGAAUUCGUGGUGUAGCGGUGAAAUGCUUAGAUAGCACGAAGAACUCCGAUUGCGAAGGCAGCUCACUGGACUGCAACUGACACUGAGGCUCGAAAGUGUGGGUAUCAAACAGGAUUAGAUACCCUUGUAGUC
Molecule: ribosomal RNA, 460 nt
Filed under: uncultured bacterium
Lineage: Bacteria
Description: partial 16S ribosomal RNA
Rfam family: Bacterial small subunit ribosomal RNA
Source: RNAcentral